This 342-nucleotide unclassified non-coding RNA is filed under the name soil metagenome. RNAcentral describes it as "partial contains 5.8S ribosomal RNA, internal transcribed spacer 2, and large subunit ribosomal RNA". The stretch from base 1 to 120 matches the Rfam family "5.8S ribosomal RNA", at positions 35 to 154 of the family's 154-position model. The record is from RNAcentral.
GAUGAAGAACGUAGCGAAAUGCGAUAAGUAAUGUGAAUUGCAGAAUUCAGUGAAUCAUCGAAUCUUUGAACGCACAUUGCGCCCGCCAGCACUCUGGCGGGCAUGCCUGUUCGAGCGUCAUUUCAACCAUCAAGCCCCCAGGGGCUUGUGCUGGGGCCCUGCGGCUGCCCGCAGGCCCUGAAAACCAGUGGCGGGCUCGCUAGUCACACCGAGCGCAGUAGCACAUCUCGCUCAGGGCGUGCGGCGGGCUCCUGCCGUGAAACCCCCCACUGUAACCCAAAAGGUUGACCUCGGAUCAGGUAGGAAUACCCGCUGAACUUAAGCAUAUCAAUAAGCGGAGGA